Non-coding RNA from Oryza sativa Japonica Group (Japanese rice), 3158 nucleotides. The record is from RefSeq and is a predicted model, not a curated record. Lineage: Eukaryota; Viridiplantae; Streptophyta; Magnoliopsida; Poales; Poaceae.
AUGUUCAAAGGAAGAGCUCAGCUUGUGCCUGUAAAUUCAGUCUGGAAGCUGAAAACAAGAUGGAUGAGCUUCUACGGGUACAGAGGGAGCUUCUACGAUUUCAGUUACUGCUAUCCAAGCAUUUCCACCGAUGGAGAAAUAUUGACAUCUAACUUGUUUCAGAAAAAAAGGGCGCAAGCACAGCACUGCAGCUUCCUAUCUCCUUUAUUUGGUCUUCCAUUGCUUCUUGUUGCUGAGGUUGCCUUCCUAUUGCCCCCUUCCCUUUUCCACUCUUCUACUAACACUUGCUUCAGGCUACUGAGGGCUUUGGCUUCUCGGUGUUGUCGCUACAGGCCAACGUUUUAUCUGAGGGUAAAAUUCAAGAAGAUAUAUAUGGCUUUUGGUGCAAAUGACAUUGUGUUGCAUAUCAAGAGACUAAUGUAUUCAUCUGUCAGAAUUGGAUAUCAAUUUGCUUGUGAUUACCCUAUAGUACUAGCUGCUGGCGUUUUGUUGCUGUUUCUACACAGGCUUUGCCCUUCUCUAUUCAACUUCUUGCUGUCUUCAUCUCCAGUCUUCCUGUUAACUGCACUUCUGCUUGGAGCACUUUUGAGUUAUGGUGAACCUGCUGUUCUUGUUCUUGGAGAGAAUCAACAAACUUUGUCCUUUAAAUCCAAGAUUUCCAUUACUGACUGUUCGAUUGACAAGGUUGAGACUGUUGCUGUCGAGGAGCACUUGGAUAAAACAACUACCAGUAAUGAAGUAUAUGUCAGGGAAAGAAAUUUUGAGGGUAAUAUACAUGACACUCACUGGGAAGAGAAAAAUGGCACCUACAUGACAGUUGAUACCGCUCUAAAUGACGAAAUACAUACGAAGGAUGGAACUUCUGAUUAUGAUUUGCAGGAUACCCACCGUGAAGGAAAAGGUAUCACAUCAGUGGAAACUGAUACUGUUCCUUGUGUGGCGCCUUCAAGUUUUGCCUACAGUGGUGUAACUGUGGAAACUGAAGACGUUGGGGAGAACAGCAAGAAGAAUGAUGAGCUGCAAGAACUUGGAAGCAUCAAUCCUGAAAGUGAUAACAAUAAAGUACAAUAUCAAUAUCAGUUAGGUGAGUUUAUGAGUUCAUGUUGGGAACCUGUUAUGAGACAGGAGCCACAGGAUGCUUGUUCUGAUUCUGAAUCUGAUCUUACUGAGAGUUCUCCUGAUGCAUCAAUGACUGACAUUAUUCCAAUGCUUGAAGAGUUGCACCCAUUAAUAGACUUGCAAACUGGCCACCCUUCAUUGGUCUCCAGAGACAACUUGAAUACUUCUUCGGAUGAUGAUGAAGAUGAUCUUGAGGAGGAGGAUGCUAGCACAGAUGAAAAUCAAUUGGAAGGGAAAAUAGAUGAUUUUGCUAACUGGAAGGAUGUUAUUGAUCUAAAUUACUUGGAUAUGGACAAUAAUAGCAAGCUGGAGGGUAUGAUGGAUCUGCAAAGAGCAAAGAACAUUCUGAAAUUUGAACUUGACAGGAGGUUAAUGGACUUGCAAGCAGCUGAUGCAGUACAGAAAAUGGAGGAGGCAUCACGCUUCCGUGUGCAGGUUCCCUCCAUUUCCACUGGAAGGCAGAACCCAUUUGAUUCUUCAAAUGGCUCAGAUGAAAUAAUAGAGUUACCACAUGUUCCUGAUUCAGCACCGUCUUGUCUCCUUCCACGGAAAAAUCUAUUUGAUCUUUGCAGUCAACCAAAAUAUGGCCCACGAUAGUCCAUUGCAAGAAACUUGGACUCCUCUUUCGUACUUUUCAGCAAGACGGCAUAGAAAGCAUGGAAACUUAUAUGUUAGGCACUCUACUAGCCUGCAUCACAAUAGCUUCAAACUGGAGAAAGAUGAAAUAAGUGAAAAUGAUGCCCAUAAUAGUCAGUCAGACUGUGAUGCCAAGCAAGAAGGGAACAACAGCAAGUUAUUUGGUUCACUGGAAGCACAUAUAGGUGAAGAAAUCAAAAUAUUAGGCGCAGCAAUUUCAGAUGUGGGUGUAUUAGAAGUAAAUUCUGGAAUGGAUAGUGGUAACCAAAAUGCUGAUUUCAGUGAUGAUAUCAGUUUAUCUCCUAUCCAGAAGUCUAGACAAAGCACUUUCGAAGCUAAGGAAGCAGUACAUGCAGGUAUUGAGCAAUUAACAUCGUGCUCCCCUUACAAGGUAAAUAAUUUUGAGGCACAUAUUGUUGAAGCAGACUCCAUUGAUGAAUUUAACUCAUUGUUUAAGUGCCGUAUGGAGGAAGUACUAGUGCAAUCCAUCUCAGAGUCCAGUAUCAGUCAACCCUUGACAGUUAAACUUGAAGAUGAAUUGAGUGAACCAUUAUCUUCAGACUCUGGGACCGGGACACAUUUCAUUGACGGGAGUUCAGUUGAAGAUUCGGAUCCACAAUUUGCACAGCUCAAGGAUGAAGCACUGGUAUCUGCUACUUCUAACGCAACAUGUCGUAAUGAGUCAAUUGAAGAGAAAUCAAGUGAAGCAUUACUGGCAGGAAACGAAGAUUAUUCAGAACUGCCAAAUGAACUGUUAAAAUCAGGAGAUCCACAGUUUGCAGAUAGUUCUGAGAUUCAAAUGCAGGUUAUUGAGGCUACAGGUCACUGAAUCAUCACAAGGGCCUAAAACAAGGCCAAACAGCCAAUUUCUCAGAGAGAUCUGUAAAGCAUAGAUGUCCUGUCUUAGCUCUCUGAACAGGUUUCUGCCCCCCUUUGUUCCAACUUACUCUAUGGCGUCUGGAUUUAACUAUUCCUCUUCUUAAUACAAAAUGUGCAGCAAUCAUGCUGUUUUUCCUCCAAAAACUUUUCUCAGGAAGUCCGCAAUGUCAGAAAUAUCCAAGGAACAGUGGAUGUACAUAUGGUUUCUGCUUAUUUCUUCUCUUUUGUUUCUGCUUAUUUGCUUUCGGUUUUGGGCUAAUAGGUUAGUAGAUAGGAGAGUAGAUGACAUUGAUAUGAAACACCAGUUGCAGUUGGGUGUGAUAUCCAUUCAGUCAAGCCGGUCUUUCUUUCGCUGCCUAUGGAGUAUUAAUUUUUCUUGUCUGCCAGACAGGCAUUGGCAACCCCUGAUCAUCACUUUGUUUCAGUAAAUAAGAUGAUUGGAUGUCUGUUUGCCUGUUGGUAAACCGCUGGACUGGAGUUGCAGCUUCUGCAGUUUGCUUCUUCAACAGUUAUCCUGUCAGUAA